This 448-nucleotide ribosomal RNA is filed under the name uncultured bacterium. RNAcentral's name for it is "bacterial SSU rRNA". It matches the Rfam family "Bacterial small subunit ribosomal RNA", at positions 328 to 793 of the family's 1533-position model. The record is from RNAcentral.
UCAGUCGACUCCUACGGGAGGCAGCAGUCGGGGAAUCUUGGACAAUGGGCGCAAGCCUGAUCCAGCCAUGCCGCGUGAGUGAUGAAGGCCCUAGGGUCGUAAAGCUCUUUCGCCAGGGAUGAUAAUGACAGUACCUGGUAAAGAAACCCCGGCUAACUCCGUGCCAGCAGCCGCGGUAAUACGGAGGGGUUAGCGUUGUUCGGAAUUACUGGGCGUAAAGCGCGCGUAGGCGGAUUAGUCAGUUAGAGGUGAAAUCCCAGGGCUCAACCCUGGAACUGCCUUUAAUACUGCUAGUCUUGAGUUCGAGAGAGGUGAGUGGAAUUCCGAGUGUAGAGGUGAAAUUCGUAGAUAUUCGGAGGAACACCAGUGGCGAAGGCGGCUCACUGGCUCGAUACUGACGCUGAGGUGCGAAAGUGUGGGGAGCAAACAGGAUUAGAUACCCUGGUAG